UCGCACCCCGCCUCCCCCACAGUCCUCCGAUUCCCGUUUUCCGAAAGGAAUGUCUUCAGGGCCCCUUUGACCCGUCUUUUCCAGUCCACACGACAUGUCGCUACUCGAGGUCACCGUGACCUUCUGUGUACGCUGCUUGGGGUUCGUCGUGUGAGAUGGGCCAGCUGGUUCUGGCUACGGAUCGGUCAUAGGGAACGGUGUUUCGGAACUUAACCCUAAUUGUCUUCGAAUGGUUUCAGUCUUGCGUUUAUAGUCGUCUGGGUCCACCUUCUAUACUGCUUGGUGUCUUCGUGACUCUGCGCCUGCUGAAAAGCAGGAUCGGAUGAGCUGUCGCCCGGCGGUGGAAGGGUGGUAUUGGACACUCCAGUCGCCUUUGGCGUGUGAGGGCCUGUGCUAUGAGUCGAUUUGGGAAGAGCCCCUGGUCUGGGGUCGCUCGUCAGCACUGUGUCGCUGGAACUCGUACUCCGGUCAUGAUGGAUUGUGCUGGUGGUGCUCAGCUUGCUUAUCUGCUAGGAGAUGGGUCGGGAUCAGCUUGCUGUCGUUGACUAGACGUAACGCUAGCCUUUGGCACUGCGUUGUGCUCCUGAGAGUAUAUGGGAAGGGUGUAAUAUUGGCCACAUACUGUCAAAGGAUUUGAGCAUUUCACUUUUUUUUUUUGCCGUUAAUCAUCUCGCCGGAAUCACCUAAACAAAUCCCUCAGCUGGAUUAGGUGAGCGGGAAUUACCACGGCUUCAACAGAAAUGCUCAGCCUUAGACACAUACCACGCCUUAUUACUAGCUCCGGGCACCCGGAUCUCUCAUGUCACAUCUAGUUGACGCAGCCGUCGGCGUUAAACCCGGCUCCCCCAAAAGCGUUCACCGAUCCAUCCAACCUACCAGCCAGGCUUGCCAGCUCCCGGUACUGCAUUUCGGCAACAGCCACUAAUGCAUCCUAUGAGAAAUCCGACCGGACGCAUUAACUUCCUCUUGUGGGUUUGUCCCACAAUGACGGGGGGCGCCGUUUAUGCGUCAACUACCUCGCGGUGGGCGAUGCUCCCUCGCCUCUUCCCAACAGGGCUGAGCCGAGACGAUAGUGCGGAUUUUAUAGAUAUUUUUGGCCGUACGCAAAAGCCUUCCUAGCUGCUCACGUAAGCUCGACGGAAGCGAACCAAAAACCAGUCUCUGUUGGCAGUGCGUUCUUACAGAAAGAGGUUCUCUUGAGCGGAUCCGGAGACAUAGUUCAUGUUGAAACUCGCCGAUUUCAUAUCGAACUCCAAAAACGGUACACAUUCGGUUUUAAAUUGGCAACAGUGGAAGUAUGAACAUGAGUGACCUGUAAGGUGUUCGCUUUCCGCACAGAUUCAUCCGCCGGGACCCAUCUCGAGUUGGUGUCAAAGCUUAGUGCUUGUCUGGUCUUUGAAUC
This 1402-nucleotide telomerase RNA is filed under the name Xylariales sp. No.14919. Its description in RNAcentral is "fungal sp. No.14919 Ascomycota telomerase RNA". It matches the Rfam family "Ascomycota telomerase RNA", at positions 208 to 1706 of the family's 1858-position model. Lineage: Eukaryota; Fungi; Ascomycota; Sordariomycetes; Xylariales. The record is from Rfam by way of RNAcentral.